Molecule: non-coding RNA, 213 nt
Organism: Pelobates cultripes (western spadefoot toad)
Lineage: Eukaryota; Metazoa; Chordata; Amphibia; Anura; Pelobatidae
Source: the annotation of a GenBank genome assembly
CAUAUUUACAUAGUUACAUAGCUGAAAAGAGACUUGUGUCCAUCAAGUUCAGCCUUCCUCACAUUUGUUUUUUGCUGUUGAUCCAAAAGAAGGCAAAAAAACCCAGUUUGAAGCACAAUUUUGCAACAAGCUAGGAAAAAAAAUUCCUUCUUGACCCCAGAAUGGCAGUCAGAUUUAUCCUUGGAUCAAGCAGUUAUUACCCUACAUUGAAAG